This 753-nucleotide ribosomal RNA is filed under the name Aquipseudomonas alcaligenes. RNAcentral describes it as "bacterial SSU rRNA". It matches the Rfam family "Bacterial small subunit ribosomal RNA", at positions 28 to 776 of the family's 1533-position model. The record is from RNAcentral. Lineage: Bacteria; Pseudomonadati; Pseudomonadota; Gammaproteobacteria; Pseudomonadales; Pseudomonadaceae.
AUUGAACGCUGGCGGCAGGCCUAACACAUGCAAGUCGAGCGGAUGAGUGGAGCUUGCUCCAUGAUUCAGCGGCGGACGGGUGAGUAAUGCCUAGGAAUCUGCCUGGUAGUGGGGGACAACGUUUCGAAAGGAACGCUAAUACCGCAUACGUCCUACGGGAGAAAGCAGGGGACCUUCGGGCCUUGCGCUAUCAGAUGAGCCUAGGUCGGAUUAGCUAGUAGGUGAGGUAAUGGCUCACCUAGGCGACGAUCCGUAACUGGUCUGAGAGGAUGAUCAGUCACACUGGAACUGAGACACGGUCCAGACUCCUACGGGAGGCAGCAGUGGGGAAUAUUGGACAAUGGGCGAAAGCCUGAUCCAGCCAUGCCGCGUGUGUGAAGAAGGUCUUCGGAUUGUAAAGCACUUUAAGUUGGGAGGAAGGGCAGUAAGUUAAUACCUUGCUGUUUUGACGUUACCAACAGAAUAAGCACCGGCUAACUUCGUGCCAGCAGCCGCGGUAAUACGAAGGGUGCAAGCGUUAAUCGGAAUUACUGGGCGUAAAGCGCGCGUAGGUGGUUCAGCAAGUUGGAGGUGAAAUCCCCGAGCUCAACCUGGGAACUGCCUCCAAAACUACUGAGCUAGAGUACGGUAGAGGGUAGUGGAAUUUCCUGUGUAGCGGUGAAAUGCGUAGAUAUAGGAAGGAACACCAGUGGCGAAGGCGACUACCUGGACUGAUACUGACACUGAGGUGCGAAAGCGUGGGGAGCAAACAGG